RNAcentral lists this ribosomal RNA (497 nucleotides) under uncultured bacterium. RNAcentral describes it as "partial 16S ribosomal RNA". It matches the Rfam family "Bacterial small subunit ribosomal RNA", at positions 28 to 507 of the family's 1533-position model. The record is from RNAcentral.
GAUGAACGCUGGCGGCGUGCCUAAUACAUGCAAGUCGAGCGAACAGAUGAGGAGCUUGCUCCUCUGACGUUAGCGGCGGACGGGUGAGUAACACGUGGAUAACCUACCUAUAAGACUGGGAUAACUUCGGGAAACCGGAGCUAAUACCGGAUAAUAUAUUGAACCGCAUGGUUCAAUAGUGAAAGACGGUUUUGCUGUCACUUAUAGAUGGAUCCGCGCCGCAUUAGCUAGUUGGUAAGGUAACGGCUUACCAAGGCGACGAUGCGUAGCCGACCUGAGAGGGUGAUCGGCCACACUGGAACUGAGACACGGUCCAGACUCCUAAGGGAGGCAGCAGUAGGGAAUCUUCCGCAAUGGGCGAAAGCCUGACGGAGCAAAGCCGCGUGAGUGAUGAAGGUCUUCGGAUCGUAAAACUCUGUUAUUAGGGAAGAACAAAUGUGUAAGUAACUAUGCACGUCUUGACGGUACCUAAUCAGAAAGCCACGGCUAACUACGUG